GCGAGCGUGGCGGAAUGGCAGACGCGCUAGAUUCAGGAUCUAGUGGGAAAAACUCCCGUGGAGGUUCAAAUCCUCUCGCUCGCACCA
This 87-nucleotide transfer RNA is filed under the name Bacillota bacterium. RNAcentral describes it as "Firmicutes bacterium (anaerobic digester metagenome) tRNA-Leu". It matches the Rfam family "tRNA". From Rfam's summary of the family: Transfer RNA (tRNA) molecules are approximately 80 nucleotides in length. Their secondary structure includes four short double-helical elements and three loops (D, anti-codon, and T loops). Further hydrogen bonds mediate the characteristic L-shaped molecular structure. tRNAs have two regions of fundamental functional importance: the anti-codon, which is responsible for specific mRNA codon recognition, and the 3' end, to which the tRNAs corresponding amino acid is attached (by aminoacyl-tRNA synthetases). tRNAs cope with the degeneracy of the genetic code in two manners: having more than one tRNA (with a specific anti-codon) for a particular amino acid; and 'wobble' base-pairing, i.e. permitting non-standard base-pairing at the 3rd anti-codon position. The record is from RNAcentral. Lineage: Bacteria; Bacillati; Bacillota.